Molecule: non-coding RNA, 173 nt
Filed under: Mitsuaria sp. 7
Lineage: Bacteria; Pseudomonadati; Pseudomonadota; Betaproteobacteria; Burkholderiales; Sphaerotilaceae
Also listed under: 1 other name
Description: FMN riboswitch aptamer (RFN element)
Rfam family: FMN riboswitch aptamer (RFN element)
About the family: The RFN element is a highly conserved domain that is found frequently in the 5'-untranslated regions of prokaryotic mRNAs that encode for flavin mononucleotide (FMN) biosynthesis and transport proteins.
Source: Rfam by way of RNAcentral
CAGCGUUCUCAGGGCGGGGUGGAAGUCCCCACCGGCGGUAUCCGGGGCGCGGUCGACAGACCGACGACCCCGGGAGCCCGCGAGCGCCCGGCACCGCCCUUGUGGUGCCGGGGUCAGCAGACCUGGUGAGAGGCCAGGGCCGACGGUCACAGUCCGGAUGAAAGAGAUCGCGU